GGGAAUAACAACCGGAAACGGUUGCUAAUACCGCAUAAUGCAGCGGCACCUAAUGGUGACCCCCGGGGAUGCAGGGGGAUCGAAAGACCUCGCGUCUGAAGAGGAGCCUGCGGCGGAUUAGCUAGUUGGUAGGGUAACGGCCUACCAAGGCGACGAUCCGUAGCCGGCCUGAGAGGGCGGUCGGCCACACUGACACUGACAUACGGGUCAGACUCCUACGGGAGGCAGCAGUCGGGAAUUUUGGGCAAUGGGCGAAAGCCUGACCCAGCAACGCCGCGUG
RNAcentral lists this ribosomal RNA (280 nucleotides) under uncultured Acidobacteriota bacterium. Its description in RNAcentral is "uncultured Acidobacteria bacterium partial 16S ribosomal RNA". It matches the Rfam family "Bacterial small subunit ribosomal RNA", at positions 139 to 403 of the family's 1533-position model. The record is from RNAcentral. Lineage: Bacteria; Pseudomonadati; Acidobacteriota.